UGGCGGCGUGCCUAACACAUGCAAGUCGAGCGGAGUCGGUAAGAGGAAGUUUCGGAUGGAAUCUUAUUGAUUUAGCGGCGGACGGGUGAGUAACGCGUGAGCGACCAACCUUGCACAGGGGAUAACGGACCGAAAGGUUCACUAAUACCGCAUGAGACCACGGUGUUGCAUGACACAGAGGUCAAAGGAGCAAUCCGGUGCAAGACGGGCUCGCGUCCGAUUAGGUAGUUGGAGGGGUAACGGCCCACCAAGCCUAUGAUCGGUAGCCGACCUGAGAGGGUGAUCGGCCACAUUGGAACUGAGAUACGGUCCAAACUCCUACGGGAGGCAGCAGUGGGGAAUAUUGGGGCCAAUGGGGGAAACCCUGACCCAGCAACGCCGCGUGAAGGAAGAAGGUUUUCGGAUUGUAAACUUCUGUCCUUGGUGAAGAGAAGAAGACGGUAGCCAAGGAGGAAGCCCCGGCUAACUACGUGCCAGCCGCCGC
RNAcentral lists this ribosomal RNA (484 nucleotides) under uncultured bacterium. Its description in RNAcentral is "bacterial SSU rRNA". It matches the Rfam family "Bacterial small subunit ribosomal RNA", at positions 37 to 518 of the family's 1533-position model. The record is from RNAcentral.